CUUUACCCUAAUUAGAUGUUAUGGUUCAAAUGGAAACAUCACUGGACACAUCCUCCGUAAUGGUGCAGCGAGAAGAAAUUGUGCAUUUGCCAUAUCAGGGGACAAUGCAUACAGAUAAUGUGGCCAUUAGCCAACCACCUUCGGCACAUAUUCCAGAUAUGGGGCCAAUGUCUGAAGGCAGUGGAAUAGUUGAUCAGCCACAACAGACAUCAACCACCAGCUCCAUACAUUCUGAAGAUCAUGUACAAGCAGAGAUGCCCACCACUCCGUUUGAUAAUAUUG
Molecule: long non-coding RNA, 282 nt
Organism: Pseudophryne corroboree (corroboree frog)
Lineage: Eukaryota; Metazoa; Chordata; Amphibia; Anura; Myobatrachidae
Exons: 3
Source: RefSeq, a predicted model, not a curated record